This is a non-coding RNA of Oryza sativa Japonica Group (Japanese rice), 1853 nucleotides long. The record is from RefSeq and is a predicted model, not a curated record. Lineage: Eukaryota; Viridiplantae; Streptophyta; Magnoliopsida; Poales; Poaceae.
CGACGCGACGGACACCCAACCCAGCAUAGGUAAACCCCCCCCCCCCCCCCCCCCAACCCAAACCCUAACAACAAGGCAAGGCGGCGCCGAUUGCUCCCUCCGGCUACCAAGCAGCAGCGAGCUCAGUGAACCCCUACCGCUGCCGCACCCUACCACCAAUGGCGGCGCCUCCGGCCACGGCCUCCGCGCCCUCCCUGCGCCCGUCCGCGGCCAGCCCACGCGCCGCCGCCGCUCGGUCGGUCGCCGUCCCCUCAGGGCCUCGCACCGUCGGCCCGAGGCGAGACGGGGGCCGCUUCCUCGGCGUCCGUGCUGCCAAGGCUGUCAGUGGCGUGCAGAGUGGUACCGUGGUGGAUGAUGGAGUGCAAAGACCAUGGAAGCUCAGCGAUGCUCGGCUCGUUCUUGAGGAUGGUUCAGUUUGGAAGGCCAAGUCUUUUGGUGCUUCAGGAACACAAGUUGGUGAAGUGGUAUUUAAUACAUCUUUGACAGGGUAUCAAGAGAUUUUGACUGAUCCAAGCUAUGCUGGUCAAUUUGUCCUCAUGACCAACCCACAUAUUGGAAACACUGGUGUUAAUCCUGAUGAUGAAGAAUCGAACCGAUGUUUCCUUGCUGGUCUGAUCAUAAGGAAUCUAAGCAUAUGUACAUCCAACUGGCGAUGCACAGAAACACUUGAAGAGUAUCUGAUGAAGAGAAACAUUAUGGGAAUAUAUGAUGUGGACACACGCGCCAUAACACGGAGAUUACGAGAAGAUGGUAGUCUAAUUGGUGUCUUAAGUACUGAUCAAUCUCGGACCGAUGAUGAGUUGUUGGAAAUGGCAAAAAAUUGGAAAAUUGUUGGUGUUGAUUUGAUUAGUGGUGUCACAUGCGAUGCUCCAUAUGAAUGGUCAGACAAGACUGAUUCAGAGUGGGAAUUCAAGAAGGGUCAAUCGACUGAAAGUUUUCAUGUGGUCGCAUACGAUUUUGGAAUCAAGCACAAUAUUUUGAGACGUUUGACGUCAUAUGGAUGCAAGAUAACUGUUGUUCCAGCCAAUUGGCCUGCUUCUGAGGUACUUAACUUGAAGCCUGAUGGUGUGUUUUUUAGCAAUGGUCCUGGAGAUCCAGCUGCAGUUCCAUAUGCUGUGAAGACAGUACAAGAAAUAAUAGGGAAGGUUCCUGUGUUUGGCAUCUGUAUGGGCCACCAAUUGAUUGGGCAAGCUCUUGGUGGGAAGACAUUUAAAAUGAAGUUUGGUCAUCAUGGAGGAAAUCAUCCUGUUUGUGACCUUCGAAGUGGACGUGUCGACAUAAGUGCACAAGCUUUCCGUAUUACUGGUGUUGGGAGAGGUGCUGGACUUCUCGCUGUGACACUUCCUGAUGAAAACUUGGAGCUUCUGAGAGUAAUGAAUUUGAACCUUUAGGCUGUUAGAACCAUAAUUAUGCUGUUGACCCAGAGUCACUUCCAGAAGGGGUGAAAGUAACACAUAUCAAUCUCAACGAUAAUAGCUGUGCCGGCCUUCAGUACCCUAAGAUGAAACUUUUGUCUCUUCAGUACCAUCCAGAGUCCUCACCCGGGCCGCAUGAUUCUGACUUGGCUUUUGGUGAAUUUAUAGAGAUGAUGAAGAACAACAGAUUGUGAGGCGCAAAUAUAAGAUACAAGGGUUUGGUUCUUGAACCGGGAGGUGAGAGGUUCUAUUUCAGAUUUCUGAUGAGAGCCACAAGAGUCAAAAUAAUCUGUUGUACCUGUAGCUUUUCUUUCCUUAUUAUAAGCUCCGACAAGCUUGAAUGCGAGGGUCAAGGACUCGAGAAUAAGUUGCUUUGUGACUGAAUCAGCCUAUGCAAAAAUAUUUUACUCCUCAGUCCUCAGGCUUCCUGUAUUUCCA